AACGAACGCUGGCGGCAUGCCUAACACAUGCAAGUCGAACGAAGGCUUCGGCCUUAGUGGCGCACGGGUGAGUAACGCGUAGGAAACUGCCUAUUGGUGGGGAAUAACGACGGGAAACUGUCGCUAAUACCGCAUAAGCCCUUCGGGGGAAAGAUUUAUCGCCGAUAGAUGUGCCCGCGUCCGAUUAGCUAGUUGGUGAGGUAAUGGCUCACCAAGGCGACGAUCGGUAGCUGGUCUGAGAGGAUGAUCAGCCACACUGGGACUGAGACACGGCCCAGACUCCUACGGGAGGCAGCAGUGGGGAAUAUUGGACAAUGGGCGAAAGCUUGAUCCAGCAAUGCCGCGUGAGUGAUGAAGGCCUUAGGGUUGUAAAGCUCUUUCGGGUGGGACGAUGAUGACGGUACCACCAGAAGAAGCCCCGGCUAACUUCGUGCCAGCCGCCGCAGUAA
Molecule: ribosomal RNA, 449 nt
Filed under: uncultured bacterium
Lineage: Bacteria
Description: partial 16S ribosomal RNA
Rfam family: Bacterial small subunit ribosomal RNA
Source: RNAcentral